This 396-nucleotide ribosomal RNA is filed under the name uncultured bacterium. Its description in RNAcentral is "partial 16S ribosomal RNA". It matches the Rfam family "Bacterial small subunit ribosomal RNA", at positions 361 to 775 of the family's 1533-position model. The record is from RNAcentral.
AUAUUGCACAAUGGAGGAAACUCUGAUGCAGCGACGCCGCGUGAACGAUGAAGGCUUUCGGGUCGUAAAGUUCUGUCCUAGGGGACGAUAAUGACGGUACCCUAGGAGGAAGCCCCGGCUAACUACGUGCCAGCAGCCGCGGUAAUACGUAGGGGGCAAGCGUUGUCCGGAAUUAUUGGGCGUAAAGGGUUCGCAGGCGGUCUUUUAAGUCAGAUGUGAAAGAUCACGGCUCAACCGUGGUAAGCAUUUGAAACUGGGGGACUUGAGUUAUGGAGAGGAAAGUGGAAUUCCUAGUGUAGCGGUGAAAUGCGUAGAUAUUAGGAGGAAUACCAGUGGCGAAGGCGACUUUCUGGCCUACAACUGACGCUGAGGCGCGAAAGCGUGGGUAGCGAACAG